GCGCGAAAACUUUGCAAUGCGCGAAACCGUGNCAAGGCNACCCCGCGUGCCCGUAAAUUCCGGCUGUUCCGGUGUACAAAAAGCACCGGGAGAAAGGGCCGGGCAAGACCGGUGCCAGCCGCCGCGGUAAUACCGGCGGCUCGAGUGGUGGCCACUAUUACUGGGCUUAAAGCGUUCGUAGCUGGAUUGUUAAGUCUCUUGGGAAAUCUACCGGCUUAACCGAUAGGCGUUCAAGAGAUACUGGCAAUCUAGGGACCGGGAGAGGUGAGAGGUACUCCAGGGGUAGGA
RNAcentral lists this ribosomal RNA (288 nucleotides) under uncultured archaeon. RNAcentral describes it as "partial 16S rRNA". It matches the Rfam family "Archaeal small subunit ribosomal RNA", at positions 339 to 631 of the family's 1478-position model. The record is from RNAcentral.